Long non-coding RNA from Neltuma alba, 80 nucleotides. RefSeq lists it as uncharacterized. The transcript is spliced from 3 exons. NCBI's taxonomy places the organism in Eukaryota, Viridiplantae, Streptophyta, Magnoliopsida, Fabales, Fabaceae. The record is from RefSeq and is a predicted model, not a curated record.
GCUUAAUAAGUGGAUUUGUUUUCUUGUGUUUGGCUCUGAGUGUGUGUGUGUGGUGGAGGAAGGGACUUGGGGUGUUUGGG